RNAcentral lists this long non-coding RNA (1249 nucleotides) under Sus scrofa (pig). Its description in RNAcentral is "lncRNA (ENSSSCG00065034472.1)". Lineage: Eukaryota; Metazoa; Chordata; Mammalia; Artiodactyla; Suidae. The record is from RNAcentral.
CGCUGGUCCCCAGUGGGAAGAGGAGGCACAGAGAAGUGCUUGGGUGGAAGAGUGGGCGGCUUUACCAACACUCUCCUGGCAGUUGAUCCAGACUGAGAUCGGAGACAAGGAUGUAGAAUUAGAGGGUAAGAAGUUUUAUUCGCUAUUCCUGAAGCAGGUCUAGGCUGCAAGCAUGGAGAAUAAUCUAGGUGGAUUUUUCAAGGAGCCACUGAAUAUGUAUGAGAGAGGAUCUGAACACGGGGAAGGAAGCAGGAUGGAUAAAGACAGAGGGGAGGAAGGCCUGGGACUGCAGCACGAAUGUGGCUGGGCAGAGUAGGGGAGAAAGGAGGCUCAGGAGGAAGGAAAGGAGAAGGGAAUAGAGGCCGAGAGCUGGGCCAGGAGCUGGCAGAGCGGCCAGAUGGAGCGGCAGAGACAGAGUGCAGGGCCAGAGGAAUGGCAGGCGGCGAGCCUGGCAGCCAAGCCCCGCGGCUUCCGAGGGAAGCAGAUGCUUCCAGGGAGCAGCAGCCGGUGGCCCAGCAAGUGGAGGGUCCUUGUUGACUCAGGCCCAGUGCAGCCUCCUUGUCUUUGCAGCGUCAGCAGCCUUAGCCUGGAGGGCGACCCAGGUGCAGGGAGGCAGGUGAGGGGCCACCCUGCCCUGUGGGGCUGUCUUUCCUCUUCUCCGUCCCCAACCAGGCUCGGCCAGCCCCUCAUGAGGCCCGGGAAGCCAGAAGCUGCCACUUCUUACACGAGAGGAAGCAGGCUGUGCUGGAGGGGUGAGUGUGAGCUGCAGCAGAGUUUGCAGAACUGUGUCCCUUCCAAGCCACUGGGCCAGAGUGGCCGUCCUCACCAUCAGGAAAUUCAUCCUCAUAUUCCAGCUUAUUGUUACUCCCUCUUGUUCUGGAGACCGGUGGGCCAGAUGCUGCAAUGGUGUCACCCCAGCAAACACACUUUCUUACUUUCCCAUCUUUUCCGAAGCUUCCAGCCACAGUCCCUUCAACCUGAGGCACAAGAAAGAGUACAUUCCUUCCAGCAAGUAGCAAAGGACAGCAAAGCCGGGCUUUUCCAGGAGCCUCCGGAUGCCUUGCAGAAGCCUAUGGAAGGCCCCACAACUCCAUGGGCCCUGAGCAUUGUUUUCUCUCAGGGCCUGUGUCUCUCAUCCCUCAGCCAAGCCAGUCACCAGCUCCCAGCCCUCCCUCCCCCCUCCUCCCCCCUCUGUUUGCACAACCACUUGAAGCCUUAUCUGGGGCUCUCUGACAGGACUGUGUUGUGA